Long non-coding RNA from Sphaeramia orbicularis (orbiculate cardinalfish), 127 nucleotides. RefSeq lists it as uncharacterized. Lineage: Eukaryota; Metazoa; Chordata; Actinopteri; Kurtiformes; Apogonidae. The record is from RefSeq and is a predicted model, not a curated record. The transcript is spliced from 3 exons.
CACAGCAAGAAGAGUAAUUUGUUAUGUCAACCGGUUGACUGCGUUCCAAACGCUUUACCCUUUUAUCGAUUAAAUCAGCCUAACCAUGAAACGCUGUGACGCCGCACUGCCCCGUUUCCUGAUUUAA